CAGUCGCCGCGGGAAUACGAAGGGGGCUAGCGUUGCUCGGAAUGACUGGGCGUAAAGGGCGCGUAGGCGGCAUACACAGUCAGGCGUGAAAUUCCUGGGCUCAACCUGGGGGCUGCGCUUGAUACUUGGUUGCUUGAGUGGGGAAGAGGGUCGUGGAAUUCCCAGUGUAGAGGUGAAAUUCGUAGAUAUUGGGAAGAACACCGGUGGCGAAGGCGGCGACCUGGUCCUUGACUGACGCUGAGGCGCGAAAGCGUGGGGAGCAAACAGGAUUAGAUACCCGCGUAGUCCCUGUCUCUUAUAA
Molecule: ribosomal RNA, 301 nt
Filed under: uncultured bacterium
Lineage: Bacteria
Description: partial 16S ribosomal RNA
Rfam family: Bacterial small subunit ribosomal RNA
Source: RNAcentral